Molecule: non-coding RNA, 733 nt
Organism: Paramuricea clavata
Lineage: Eukaryota; Metazoa; Cnidaria; Anthozoa; Malacalcyonacea; Plexauridae
Source: the annotation of a GenBank genome assembly
UUUUACGACCAUUACAACUAUAUGGAAACCAGGCUUAAGAUUUACAGUCGUGCCAAAUCAAAUCAAAUAAGAAUUUAUUCAAAGUACCUAUUACAAAAGUAUCUAGGUCUUUGCAGGGGAAAUCCUGAGGUUAGCCCUAUGUAUGGAUUCCCUUACCUUACGAUAAUCUAAUUAUAAAACACAAUAGAUACACCACUCGACAUUAGAUAAUUCAAUGCAAUUUCAUGUGUAGUUUUAAAUUGUUCUUGAAGUUCUUAAUAUUAUCAGCUUCAACUUCUGAUCUAGGUAAAUUAUUCCAUAAACUAAUAAUCCUUACAAAAAACGAAUGCUUAAAACAAUUAAUUCUUGGUCGUUUAGGUGGUUCUUGUAGCGCGAUACUGUUUAUAUUCAAAUACUUCUGCGAAUGAUAUACCAUUAAGCUAGACCGAAAACGGUUUUAUAACACUCGACCAGAGAUAGGAAUUCUCUUCGUUUCUGUAGAGUGUUCCAUUUUAAUAAUUCACAUCGGUCUUCGUAUGGCAUAUCACCUCGUCUUUGUUUUUCACCUAGUCUGGAUGCUCGUCUCUGAACUGCCUCUAAUGCUUGUAUAUCUUUCGCUAAGUGUGGCGACCACACCGGCGUGUGGCGACCAAUAGAAGCGUUUCGGAAUUCUAGUUUUAUUGACCAAUCAGAUUGCUCAAAAAUAGAAUAUAAAAUUUGAUUGGUCAACGAAACAGGAAGUUAGAAACUUUUU